CCUACGGGCGGCAGCAGUGGGGAAUAUUGGACAAUGGAGGAAACUCUGACCCAGCAACGCCGCGUGAAUGAUGAAGGUCUUCGGAUUGUAAAGUUCUGUUCUAAGGGAAGAAGAAGGUGACUGUACCUUAGGAAUAAGCCUCCGCUAACUACGUGCCAGCAGCCGCGGUAAUACGUAGGAGGCGAGCGUUUUCCGGAAUGACUGGGCGUAAAGGGGGCGUAGGGGGGUUGGCAAGUUAGUAGCGUAACUCCAAGGCUCAACCUCGGAACUACUACUAAAACUGUUGGACUUGAGUGCAGGAGAGGCAAGCGGAAUUCCUAGUGUAGCGGUGAAAUGCGUAGAUAUUAGGAGGAACACCAGUGGCGAAGGCGGGUUGCUAGACUGUAACUGACACUGAGGCACGAAAGCGUGGGGAGCAAACAGGAUUAGAUACCCCAGUAGUC
RNAcentral lists this ribosomal RNA (443 nucleotides) under uncultured bacterium. RNAcentral's name for it is "partial 16S ribosomal RNA". It matches the Rfam family "Bacterial small subunit ribosomal RNA", at positions 338 to 795 of the family's 1533-position model. The record is from RNAcentral.